Molecule: ribosomal RNA, 403 nt
Filed under: uncultured bacterium
Lineage: Bacteria
Description: bacterial SSU rRNA
Rfam family: Bacterial small subunit ribosomal RNA
Source: RNAcentral
UUUUGGACAAUGGGCGCAAGCCUGAUCCAGCAAUGCCGCGUGCAGGAUGAAGGCCUUCGGGUUGUAAACUGCUUUUGUACGGAGCGAAAAGGUUUCCACUAAUACUGGGGGCUCAUGACGGUACCGUAAGAAUAAGCACCGGCUAACUACGUGCCAGCAGCCGCGGUAAUACGUAGGGUGCAAGCGUUAAUCGGAAUUACUGGGCGUAAAGCGUGCGCAGGCGGUUAUGUAAGACAGAUGUGAAAUCCCCGGGCUUAACCUGGGAACUGCAUUUGUGACUGCAUAGCUAGAGUACGGUAGAGGGGGAUGGAAUUCCGCGUGUAGCGGUGAAAUGCGUAGAUAUGCGGAGGAACACCGAUGGCGAAGGCAAUCCCCGGACCUGUACUGACGCUCAUGCACGAGG